CCCUGCGCUGUUCGAGGUAUCUGGCCGACGUCCCUGAGCCGAUGCUUUUUCACCCGGGGGUUCCUUCUGAUGUGGGAGUGCAUGUCCGCACGACGGAAAGCCCGAUGCAUCAUAGGAACCACCACCUUGAACCUUGGGUUCAAGGGCUACCGCCAGUCACGGCAGAACGGGGG
Molecule: non-coding RNA, 173 nt
Filed under: uncultured Ketobacter sp.
Lineage: Bacteria; Pseudomonadati; Pseudomonadota; Gammaproteobacteria; Pseudomonadales; Ketobacteraceae
Description: 6S / SsrS RNA
Rfam family: 6S / SsrS RNA
About the family: E. coli 6S RNA was the first non coding RNA to be sequenced, but its function was unknown until recently. It consists of 184 nucleotides that fold into an extended hairpin structure with a large single-stranded internal bulge.
Source: RNAcentral